UAGGGAAUAUUGGUAAUCUGGGAAACCGGGAACCAGCAACGCCGCGUGCGCAAUGAAGGCCUUCGGGUUGUAAAGCGCUUUUUGGGAGGAUGAGGAAGGACAGUACUCUUAGAAUAAGCCUCGGCUAACUACGUGCCAGCAGCCGCGGUAAAACGUAGGAGGCGAGCGUUAUCCGGAUUUACUGGGCGUAAAGCGUGUGUAGGCGGUUUGAUAAGUUGGACGUGAAAGCUCCUGGCUUAACUGGGAGAGGUCGUUCAAAACUAUCAGACUUGAGAGUGGUAGAGGGAGGUGGAAUUCCGCAUGUAGUGGUGAAAUGCGUAGAUAUCCGGAGGAACACCAGUGGCGAAAGCGGCCUCCUGGCCCAUUUCUGACGCUCAGACACGAAAGCUAAGGUAGCAAACA
This 402-nucleotide ribosomal RNA is filed under the name uncultured prokaryote. RNAcentral's name for it is "bacterial SSU rRNA". It matches the Rfam family "Bacterial small subunit ribosomal RNA", at positions 355 to 774 of the family's 1533-position model. The record is from RNAcentral.